UAUUUUUGUGUGAUUCCCAUCGUGAAAUUACUCUUAAUCUUUCUUCGAAAGUAGUUGGAUUGAUCCACAACUGUGUAAGCAAGCUGUGCAUCACCUCUUGCCACCUGUGUUGCUGCAGCUUUUCAGCCAAGCUUGUUACACAAGUUCUGGAAUCUUAAGAGGUGUAGAGUGUUUCAUUGCGUUUGUGCAAAUUAAUCUGCGUUUUGUCAGCGAAACAGAAGAGG
This is a non-coding RNA of Camellia sinensis, 224 nucleotides long. NCBI's taxonomy places the organism in Eukaryota, Viridiplantae, Streptophyta, Magnoliopsida, Ericales, Theaceae. The record is from RefSeq and is a predicted model, not a curated record.